UGUUAUUGGAUUACUCACAAAGAUUAAGAAAGUAGAAACUAGAAUGGUAAUGAAAAACACCGCCAACCCGCGGCAAAGGGACAUUCGGGAGAUUGAACUUUUAAUAGCAAAGUAAGUAUGUCAGUUUGAAUUAAAAAUUUGUUACUAUAAAUGUUUUUUCUCUUAUGAUGGAAUAAAAAUUGUAUAUUAUGGCACAAAUUAUAGGGAUCAUAAAGUGAGGAUAACACUAUGGGAAAAUUUAGCUCAUUCUUUGAAUGAAGAUUUUAUUGGCAAACAAACUGUUGUAAUAGUUACAUCAACAAUGGUGGAUGGAAUGCAAGAUAUGAUAUUUUUGAAGUCCGGAAAUGGCACAAGAUUAUAUACAAAUUUAGAUAUACCAGAAACAUGGAAGCUUAUUGACAGUCUCCAAUAUGAAGAAAAUGUUGCAAAACUGAUGGAAGUAGAUAAAAGUACACAAGGUACACUUGAGGAGCAAAUGUUUUACAACAGAAGAACUUUGUUCGAAAUUACUCAAAUGAGACAUGACAACC
Long non-coding RNA from Phragmites australis (common reed), 530 nucleotides. RefSeq lists it as uncharacterized. The transcript is spliced from 3 exons. Lineage: Eukaryota; Viridiplantae; Streptophyta; Magnoliopsida; Poales; Poaceae. The record is from RefSeq and is a predicted model, not a curated record.